Molecule: long non-coding RNA, 210 nt
Filed under: Elaeis guineensis (African oil palm)
Lineage: Eukaryota; Viridiplantae; Streptophyta; Magnoliopsida; Arecales; Arecaceae
Description: long non-coding RNA (EGUI_LNC051376)
Source: RNAcentral
GGCAUCAUCUCUCUUGGAGUCUUCUUCUUGGCAUGAAAGGUCUCAUCCAAGAAGAUCUCAAGGCAUGAGAUUAGAUCUUCUCCCUCCUCUUUUACUACCUUUUUGAAGGAUUGAUGCAAAAGGAAUCAUCUCUCUUCCUUACAGAGCCUAGCCUGCACAUGAAGUAGAGGGCCUGUGCUUUUAGACCUCGUGAAUCAGAUUCAAGCAACC